Molecule: unclassified non-coding RNA, 520 nt
Filed under: uncultured Glomus
Lineage: Eukaryota; Fungi; Glomeromycota; Glomeromycetes; Glomerales; Glomeraceae
Description: SSU rRNA
Rfam family: Eukaryotic small subunit ribosomal RNA
Source: RNAcentral
AGCAGCCGCGGUAAUUCCAGCUCCAAUAGCGUAUAUUAAAGUUGUUGCAGUUAAAAGCUCGUAGUUGAAUUUCGGGGUUAGUAGGUUGGUCAUGCCUCUGGUAUGUACUGGUCUCACUGAUUCCUCCUUCCUGAUGAACCUUAAUGCCAUUAAUUUGGUGUUUUGGGGAAUUUGGACUAUUACUUUGAAAAAUUAGAGUGUUUAAAGCAAGCUAACGCUUGAAUACAUUAGCAUGGAAUAAUGAAAUAGGACGUUCGAUCCUAUUUUGUUGGUUUCUAGGAUUGACGUAAUGAUUAAUAGGGAUAGUUGGGGGCAUUAGUAUUCAAUUGUCAGAGGUGAAAUUCUUGGAUUUAUUGAAGACUAACUACUGCGAAAGCAUUUGCCAAGGAUGUUUUCAUUAAUCAAGAACGAAAGUUAGGGAUCGAAGACGAUCAGAUACCGUCGUAGUCUUAACCAUAAACUAUGCCGACUAGGGAUCGGAUGAUGUUAAUUUUUAAUGUACUCAUUCGGCGUCCGUUAC